RNAcentral lists this ribosomal RNA (467 nucleotides) under uncultured Dyadobacter sp. RNAcentral describes it as "bacterial SSU rRNA". It matches the Rfam family "Bacterial small subunit ribosomal RNA", at positions 28 to 505 of the family's 1533-position model. Lineage: Bacteria; Pseudomonadati; Bacteroidota; Cytophagia; Cytophagales; Spirosomataceae. The record is from RNAcentral.
GAUGAACGCUAGCGGCAGGCUUAAUACAUGCAAGGCGAGGGGGCAGCAAUGUCACCGUCGUACGGGUGCGUAACGCGUAUGCAACCUACCUUCAACUGGGGGAUAGCCCGGGGAAACCCGGAUUAAUACCGCAUAAUACAUUUGUAUAGCAUUAUACGAUUUGUUAAAGAUUUAUUGGUUGAAGAUGGGCAUGCGUUCGAUUAGCUAGUUGGCAGGGUAACGGCCUACCAAGGCAACGAUCGAUAGGGGAGCUGAGAGGUUGAUCCCCCACACGGGCACUGAGAUACGGGCCCGACUCCUACGAGAGGCAGCAGUAGGGAAUAUUGGGCAAUGGAUGCAAGUCUGACCCAGCCAUGCCGCGUGCCGGAUGAAGGCCCUCAGGGUUGUAAACGGCUUUUAUUCGGGAAGAAGAGCAGGGAUGCGUCCCUGUGUGACGGUACCGAAUGAAUAAGCACCGGCUAACUCCG